CCUACGGGAGGCAGCAGUAGGGAAUAUUGGACAAUGGGCGCAAGCCUGAUCCAGCCAUCCCGCGUGAAGGAUUAAGGCCCUCUGGGUUGUAAACUUCUUUUCUCUGGGAAUAAAAACCGGUAUUCAUAUUGGCUUGAAGGUACCAGAGGAAUAAGCACCGGCUAACUCCGUGCCAGCAGCCGCGGUAAUACGGAGGGUGCAAGCGUUAUCCGGAUUCACUGGGUUUAAAGGGUGCGUAGGUGGCUUUGUAAGUCAGUGGUGAAAUGCCGCAGCUCAACUGCGGAACUGCCAUUGAUACUGCUUAGCUUGAAUCACGUCGAGGUGGAUGGAAUAAUACAUGUAGCGGUGAAAUGCUUAGAUAUGUAUUAGAACACCGAUUGCGAAGGCAGUUCACUAGGCGUGUAUUGACACUGAGGCACGAAAGCGUGGGGAUCAAACAGGAUUAGAUACCCUGGUAGUCCACGCCCUAAACGAUGUAAACUCGACAUUAGGUCGAUAUACUGUUAGUGUCGACGACGAAGACGUUACGUUACCGUACCGUAGGAGUACGACCGACGAGUAGAACGUACGAAGAAGAGUAGACGNGAGACGACGCGACGACGACGACGAGGAGGAGG
This 617-nucleotide ribosomal RNA is filed under the name uncultured bacterium. Its description in RNAcentral is "bacterial SSU rRNA". The stretch from base 1 to 539 matches the Rfam family "Bacterial small subunit ribosomal RNA", at positions 338 to 873 of the family's 1533-position model. The record is from RNAcentral.